GGGCCCGCACAAGCAGCGGAGCGUGUGGUUUAAUUCGAGGCUACACGAAGCACCUUACCUGGGCUUGACAUGGUUGUGAACGAGGCGGAAACGCCGAGGGCCGCAAGGCACAAUCACAGGUGCUGCAUGGCUGUCGUCAGCUCGUGCCGUGAGGUGUUAGGUUAAGUCCUGUAACGAGCGCAACCCCUGGGUCCAGUUACACGUUGUCUGGACCGACUGCCCGCGACAAGCGGGAGGAAGGUGGGGAUGAUGUCAAGUCAGCAUGGCCUUUAUGUCCAGGGCUACACACACGCUACAAUGGCCGGUACAAUGGGUUGCCAAGCCGCAAGGCGGCGCCAAUCCUAUCAAAGCCGGUCACAGUUCGGAUUGUGGGCUGCAACCCGCCCACAUGAAGUCGGAGUUGCUAGUAACCGCGCGUCAGCCAUAGUGCGGUGAAUACGUUCCCGGGCCUU
Molecule: ribosomal RNA, 452 nt
Filed under: uncultured bacterium
Lineage: Bacteria
Description: bacterial SSU rRNA
Rfam family: Bacterial small subunit ribosomal RNA
Source: RNAcentral